This 308-nucleotide long non-coding RNA is filed under the name Elaeis guineensis (African oil palm). RNAcentral's name for it is "long non-coding RNA (EGUI_LNC017343)". The record is from RNAcentral. Lineage: Eukaryota; Viridiplantae; Streptophyta; Magnoliopsida; Arecales; Arecaceae.
CUCAAUGGUAUCUCUAUUGACUUAGAAUUUGAUUCUCCAAUCAAAUUCGAUUCUGUGUGUAUCAAUCCUUCCACCUUAUGAACUUCACCAAGUCUAAUUUUAUAGGUAUUAGUUUCUUCUUUAAGAAACUUCUUUUUCAAAAAGACUGUCCUGUUGCUGAUAAACACCUUUUAUUCUUUAGUAAGAUAGAAGUAGUACUCUUUAGUUUCUUUUAGAUAUUCUGUGAAGAAAUAUUUAUCAGACUUAGGUCCAAGCUUAUCUAUCUUUAAAUACUUGACAUAAGCUGGACACCCCCAGACUCUAAGAUG